Molecule: ribosomal RNA, 465 nt
Filed under: Vreelandella stevensii
Lineage: Bacteria; Pseudomonadati; Pseudomonadota; Gammaproteobacteria; Oceanospirillales; Halomonadaceae
Description: partial 16S ribosomal RNA
Rfam family: Bacterial small subunit ribosomal RNA
Source: RNAcentral
CCUACGGGCGGCAGCAGUGGGGAAUAUUGGACAAUGGGGGCAACCCUGAUCCAGCCAUGCCGCGUGUGUGAAGAAGGCCUUCGGGUUGUAAAGCACUUUCAGUGAGGAAGAACGCCUGGUGGUUAAUACCCAUCAGGAAAGACAUCACUCACAGAAGAAGCACCGGCUAACUCCGUGCCAGCAGCCGCGGUAAUACGGAGGGUGCGAGCGUUAAUCGGAAUUACUGGGCGUAAAGCGCGCGUAGGUGGCUUGAUAAGCCGGUUGUGAAAGCCCCGGGCUCAACCUGGGAACGGCAUCCGGAACUGUCAAGCUAGAGUGCAGGAGAGGAAGGUAGAAUUCCCGGUGUAGCGGUGAAAUGCGUAGAGAUCGGGAGGAAUACCAGUGGCGAAGGCGGCCUUCUGGACUGACACUGACACUGAGGUGCGAAAGCGUGGGUAGCAAACAGGAUUAGAUACCCUAGUAGUC